Molecule: ribosomal RNA, 488 nt
Filed under: uncultured bacterium
Lineage: Bacteria
Description: bacterial SSU rRNA
Rfam family: Bacterial small subunit ribosomal RNA
Source: RNAcentral
CUACGUGCCAGCAGCCGCGGUAAUACGUAGGGGGCAAGCGUUAUCCGGAUUCAUUGGGCGUAAAGCGCUCGUAGGCGGUCUGUUAGGUCGGGAGUUAAAUCCGGGGGCUCAACCCCCGUUCGCUCCCGAUACCGGCAGACUUGAGUUUGGUAGGGGAAGGUGGAAUUCCUAGUGUAGCGGUGGAAUGCGCAGAUAUUAGGAAGAACACCAGUGGCGAAGGCGGCCUUCUGGGCCAUAACUGACGCUGAGGAGCGAAAGCUAGGGGAGCAAACAGGAUUAGAUACCCUGGUAGUCCACGCGGUAAACGAUGAAUACUAGGUGUUGGUGCCCGAAGGGCAUCGGUGCCGUCGCAAACGCAAUAAGUAUUCCACCUGGGGAGUACGUUCGCAAGAAUGAAACUCAAAGGAAUUGACGGGGACCCGCACAAGCAGUGGAGCAUGUGGUUUAAUUCGAAGCAACGCGAAGAACCUUACCAAAUCUUGACAUCC